RNAcentral lists this ribosomal RNA (616 nucleotides) under Basidiomycota sp. BESC103u. RNAcentral's name for it is "eukaryotic LSU rRNA". It matches the Rfam family "Eukaryotic large subunit ribosomal RNA", at positions 1 to 617 of the family's 3401-position model. RNAcentral also lists the same sequence under 1 other name. The record is from RNAcentral. Lineage: Eukaryota; Fungi; Basidiomycota.
ACCUCAAAUCGGGUAGGACUACCCGCUGAACUUAAGCAUAUCAAUAAGCGGAGGAAAAGAAACUAACAAGGAUUCCCCUAGUAACUGCGAGUGAAGAGGGAUAAGCUCAAAUUUAAAAUCUGGCGGUCUUUGGCCGUCCGAGUUGUAAUUUAGAGAAGUGUUACCCGCGCUGGACCGUGUACAAGUCUCCUCGAACGGAGCAUCAUAGAGGGUGAGAAUCCCGUACAUGACACGGACUGCCAGGGCUUUGUGGUGCGCUCUCGACGAGUCGAGUUGUUUGGGAAUGCAGCUCAAAAUGGGUGGUAAAUUCCAUCUAAAGCUAAAUACAGGCGAGAGACCGAUAGCGAACAAGUACCGUGAGGGAAAGAUGAAAAGAACUUUGGAAAGAGAGUUAAACAGUACGUGAAAUUGUUGAAAGGGAAACGCUUGAAGUCAGUCGCGUCCUUCAAAGAUCAACCUGGCCUUUUCGCUUGGUGCACUCUUUGGAGGACGGGUCAGCAUCAGUUUCGACCGGGAGAAAAAGUUGGUGGGGAGGUGGCACCUUCGGGUGUGUUAUAACCCNCNUGCAUAUAUCNUGGUUGGGACUGAGGAACGCGGCACGCCGAAAGGCCGGACU